GAAAUUCUAUCUUAGUCAUAUGAAGGGGGACGCCGGUGAGAAAACGUACUUUUGAAUAAAAAUCUGAAUUUUUUCUAAAUUGGAGUCAUAAGACAUUCUAAUGGCAGCAGUUGACACGGUACAGUGGUGUAGUGGUUAGCACUCAAGCCUCGCAGACAGAUGCCUCUGGGUUAAACUCCACCCAGUGGUGCCUCUGUGUUAGGUGGUGUAGGCUAAGCCUGCAUGGGCUUCACUCCAUACUUGUAAAAGUAAUGAAAAAAACUUUUUUUAAACUUCCAAGUCUGAAAUAAAUGCCAAAAUAUUUUGCAAAUGUCAUGAAUUCUAUCUUGAGUCAUCUGAAGGGGGACGACGGUGAGAAAACCUACUUUUGAAUAAAAAUCCGAAUUUUUUCUAAAUUGAAGUCAUAAGACAUUCUAAUGGCAGCAGUUGACACGGUACAGUGGUGUAGUGGUUAGCACUCUCGCCUCCCACACAGAUGCUUCGGGUUCAACUCCACCCAGUGGCACCACUGUGUUAGGUGGUGUAGGCUAAGCCUGCAUGGGUUUAGUCCAUACUUGUAAAAGUAAUGAAAAAAACUUUUUUUAAACUUCCAAGUCUGAAAUAAAUGCCAAAAUAUUUUGCAAAUGUCAUGAAAUUCUAUCUUGAGUCAUCUGAAGGGGGACGACGGUGAGAAAACCUACUUUUGAAUAAAAACUCCGAAUUUUUUCUAAAUUGAAGUCAUAAGACAUUCUAAUGGCAGCAGUUGACACGGUACAGUGGUGUAGUGGUUAGCACUCUCGCCUCCCAGAGAGAUGCUUCAGGUUCAAUUCCACCCAGUGGCGCCUCUGUGUUAGGUGGUUUAGGCUAAGCCUGCAUGGGGUUCAGUCCAUACUUGUAAAAGUAAUGGAAAAAACUUUUUUUAAACUUCCAAGUCUGAAAAGAAUCCCCAAAUAUUUUACAAGAAGUCAUUAAAUUCUAUCUUUAGUCAUAUGAAGGGGGACGACGGUGAAAAAACGUACUUUUGAAUAAAAAUCAGAAUUUUUUCUAAAUUGGAGUCAUAAGACAUUCUAAUGGCAGCAGUUUAUACGGUACAGUGGUGAAAUUCUAUCUUUAGUCAUAUGAAGGGGGACGACGGUGAGAAAACCUACUUUUGAAUAAAAAUGUGAUUUUUUUCUAAAUUGGAGUCAUAAGACAUUCUAAUGGCAGCAGUUGACACGGUACAGUGGUGUAGUUGUUAGCACUCUUGCCUCCCAGACAGAUGCCUCGGGUUCAACUCCACCCAGUGGCGCCAUUGUGUUAGGUGGCGUAGGCUAAGCCUGCAUGGGAUUCACUCCAUACUUGUAAAAGUAAUGGAAAAAAGUUUUUUAAAACUUCAGCAUCUGAAAAGAAUCCCCAAAUAUUUUGCAAAAAGUCAUGACAUUCUUUCUUUAGUCAUAUGAAGGGGGACGCCGGUGAGAAAACGUACUUUUGAAUAAAAAUCUGAAUUUUUUCUAAAUUGGAGUAAUUAGACAUUCUAAUGGCAGCAGUUGACACGGUACAGUGGUGUAGUGGUUAGCACUCUCGCCUCCCAGACAGAUGCCUCGGGUUCAACUCCACCCAGUGGAUCCUCUGUGUUAGGUGGUGUAGGCUAAGCCUACAUGGGAUUCACUCCACACUUGUAAAAGUAAUGGAACAUUUUUUUUUAAAACUUCAGUAUCUGAAAAGAAUCCCCAAAUAUUUUGCAAAAAGUCAUGAAAUUCUAUCUUUAAUCAUAUGAAGGGGGACGCCGGUGAGAAAACGUACUUUUGAAUAAAAAAAGAAAUUUUUUCUAAAUUGGAGUCAUAAGACAUUCUAAUGGCAGCAGUUGACACGGUACAGUGGUGUAGUGAUUAGCACUCUCGCCUCGCAGACAGAUGCCUC
This is a long non-coding RNA of Gasterosteus aculeatus aculeatus (three-spined stickleback), 1878 nucleotides long. NCBI's taxonomy places the organism in Eukaryota, Metazoa, Chordata, Actinopteri, Perciformes, Gasterosteidae. The record is from Ensembl.